RNAcentral lists this ribosomal RNA (494 nucleotides) under uncultured bacterium. RNAcentral describes it as "partial 16S ribosomal RNA". It matches the Rfam family "Bacterial small subunit ribosomal RNA", at positions 28 to 507 of the family's 1533-position model. The record is from RNAcentral.
GACGAACGCUGGCGGCGUGCUUAACACAUGCAAGUCGAACGGAAAGGCCUGCUUUCCCUUGUGGCUUGCGGGUACUCGAGUGGCGAACGGGCGAGUAACACGUGAGUGAUCUGCCCCCAACUUGGGUAUAAGCCUGGGAAACUGGGUCUAAUUCCCGAUAGGACUGCAGGGUGGUGCCUGUGGUGGAACACGAUUUUCUAGUGGUUGGGGAUGAGCUCGCGGCCUAUCAGCUUGUUGGUGGGGUAAUGGCCUACCAAGGCGGCGACGGGUAGCCGGGCUGAGAGGCUGGACGUCGACAUUGGGACUGAGAAGCGACCCAGAGACUGACGCAAGGCAGCGGUGGGGAAGAGAGGACAAAGUGCGGAAGCCUGAGGCAGCGACGCCAGGUUGGGGAUGCCGGCCUUCGGGUUGUAAACUCCUUUCGACCGCGAGGAAGCCACCUGGUUGGAAGGGUGGUGACGGUAGUGGUAGAAGAAGCACCGGCUAACUACGUG